ACCCUGCCCAGCAGAAGGACCGGGAAC
RNAcentral lists this ribosomal RNA (27 nucleotides) under Ficus benjamina (weeping fig). RNAcentral's name for it is "partial 18S ribosomal RNA". Lineage: Eukaryota; Viridiplantae; Streptophyta; Magnoliopsida; Rosales; Moraceae. The record is from RNAcentral.